RNAcentral lists this long non-coding RNA (313 nucleotides) under Populus trichocarpa (black cottonwood). RNAcentral's name for it is "long non-coding RNA (PTRI_LNC003695)". Lineage: Eukaryota; Viridiplantae; Streptophyta; Magnoliopsida; Malpighiales; Salicaceae. The record is from RNAcentral.
UUCAAUGAUUAUAGUUCUGUUGGGUAUUCUCUCCUUCUCAAGAAGGAGAAGGCGAUUAUUGUGCAGCCUGAUCGUGUGGUGAUUGCAAAUGGACCUGCAUUUGGGUGUAUUCUGAUGAAGGAUUUUUUAAGUGCCCUUGCUAAGAGGCUCAAGUGCAAUACUACUGCUUAUGAUAAUUACCACAGGAUUUUUGUUCCCGAGGGACAACCUUUGAGGGGUGCUCCCAAAGAACCUUUGAGGGUUAAUGUUCUGUUCGAACAUAUACAGAAGAUGCUGUCUAGUGAAACUGCUGUGAUUGCUGAGACUGGAGACU